This 74-nucleotide transfer RNA is filed under the name Microgenomates group bacterium. Its description in RNAcentral is "tRNA-Arg". It matches the Rfam family "tRNA". From Rfam's summary of the family: Transfer RNA (tRNA) molecules are approximately 80 nucleotides in length. Their secondary structure includes four short double-helical elements and three loops (D, anti-codon, and T loops). The record is from RNAcentral.
GAGGUUGUAGCUCAGAUGGAUAGAGCAUCUCACUCCUAACGAGAAGGUCGGCAGUUCGACUCUGCCCAACCUCA